This 3263-nucleotide long non-coding RNA is filed under the name Heterocephalus glaber (naked mole-rat). RNAcentral describes it as "lncRNA (ENSHGLG00000032609.1)". The record is from RNAcentral. Lineage: Eukaryota; Metazoa; Chordata; Mammalia; Rodentia; Bathyergidae.
GGAAAUUUUUCCCAUUGAUGGUCAGGGUGAGUACAGGUCAUUGGGCUCCUAUUGACUGUAUCCAAUAAAUAUCUGAAGAGUCGAAUCCAGCAUCUCCUCUUUUUUCUCUUUUUGCUACAUUAUUUGUUAGCAUUUGAGGGAGCAACAGCAGCUGCGCUAUACAUUGUCUCGCUUGUAUCACAGAAAUCCCAGUAGGUGAAUGAGUCAUAAUCUUAAUUUCUCCAGUGAAACCCCCAUCUAUGACCCCGGGAGCAACCAGAAUACCAUUCACAGUAGCGCUACUUCGACCUAAAAGUAAGCCUAUCAUCUCUGAUGGUAGAGGCCCAUAAACUCCAGUAGGUAGGGCCUGCAUCCCCAUUUCUGUGGUUAAUACUGUGAAGGCAGAGGGACUGAGGUCCAGUCCAGUCCUGUGCUGCCUGCGGUUGCUCUGAAGAGGUCCUGAAUGGAUUUCCUUGCUGGGGAACGAAUGUUUGAAGUGCCCCAUAACAUUGUCGCGGGGCCUGGGGCGGGCCCCUCCUCCCGUUUCCCUGCGGGAGAAUAUUUCCCAUGGCAUCCUUUUUAGAUUUACACUCAUUAGCCCAAUGAUUGCCUCUUUUGCACCUGGGACACAAUCCAGGCCCAUUUUCUUUCCCUGCAUUGUUUGAAUUGGCUAGAGGAGUCUUAUUAGGACAUUGCCGCACCUGAUGGCCUAUUUGACCAUAUCCAAAUCAACUCCCUGGUGGACCCGGAACCCUGCCUUUGGGAUUUCUCUUUUGUUGUUGGAACAACACUUCCUUAACUGUUCUUCCCUGCAAAGCUGCUGCCAUAGCAAGGCCCUGAGUAUAAGCAAAUGUCAGCACACAUUCUGAUAUAAUCUGAAAUGGUGCCUUUCUUUCUAAAUGGUCUUAGGGCUGCCUGGCAGGCGGUAUUGGCAUUUUCAUAAGCCAGUUGUUUGACCAGUAACAAUCCCGCAUUGGAAUCUCCCAGCAAUCUACUGGCAGUCUGCAUUAACCUGGCUACAAAGUCUUGAAAAGGCUCAUCAGGUCCCUGCCUAAUUUUGGAUAAAUCUUCUGUCUGCCUACCUGUAGAAGGCAGCUUCUGCCAUGCCCGCUUGGCAGCGGUAUUGACCUGUGCAUAUACUCCUGCGGGAAACAAUAAUUGAUUGGCGAGGUCCGCAUAUCGCCCUUCUCCUGCCAGCAUGUUAUAAUCAAUAUCAUUUCUAUUAGCCUGAUUUAAUUCAGCUGUUCUUUGACACAGCUCCGAAAAUUCUGUUUUCCAAAGGAGGUACUCUGCCCCAGACAGGCAUGCCUUAGCAAGCUGUUUUCAAUCUCUGGGAGGCAGCGCCUCCAUGCUCAAUGAUUCUAACAUAGCCUGAGUAAAAGGUGCGGUAGGGCCAUAUUGCGCACAUGCCAUUUUUAACUCUUUGAGUUGCUUAAAAGGAAUCGGUCGAUGGAUUCUGACCAUAUUCCCUUGAGCAUCAGCUUCCUCAAAUACUGGACAAGCUAAAUGAAAGCCCUGGGUAUCUUCCCCUCUGUCAACCGCAUGUUGCAGGGUAGCUUGUAAUAGCGACAGAGACCGAGAGUUGACAGACAAAGGCCUGGGUCCUGGGGGAUGUUUGAUCAUGGCUAUAAGAGGGUCAGUUUUUUUCAUUAAUCUUGGACCUGCAACCAGCGGGGGAUCAAGACCAGCAAUUAUACUAGGAACUAUUCCUCCCUCGCCCUGAGUCUUCUGGUCUUCCUCUUCCACCGUUAAGCCUGUCUGCCACAGCUGACAAAGAGACUCCAAUCUCUUUUCCAAUCUAGCAAUCCUUUCGGUCAUGUCCUCAUUCGCUGGCUGUCAGGAUUUUUCUGUUUUCCUGGCCACGGCUACGAUAGGGAGAGGGGGAGCAGUCCUCACUGUUAUACCUAGCAGCCUCUUCUUCCAAAUCAUCAGCAUCUCCCGGGCUUAGGGGUCCCUCAUCUGGAAAAAACCCUUCCUUAGUGCAGGCUCUGCAUCAGCAUAUACUGGCAGAGCAGAUGGCUUAGUUUCAUUUUCUGUAGGAGGCGGAGGGACAACCUCGGGAACAUCAGCCUUGUCGGGCUCCUCUGAGGAAGGACUUGAGGAGGGUCCUUCAACCCUCUCUCUCUCUCAUGCCGAGGAUCCAAACUAUCUCUAAUUAAAGCCCAUAAACUAAAAGUAUCUAUAGGGACUUUAGUGGGUCCAUGAUUAUCGUAAUAUUCCUGAAGUCGCUUCCCCACCUUAUUCCAUACUUCUAAAUCUACUGUGCCUUCUUCAGGGAACCAAGGACAAACUUUCUCUACAAAUUCUAAAAAAUUACAUAAUUGUUGAUGCCCUACCUUUGCUCCACGAGACCGAAGCAUAUUUUUAAGCAUAUGUUCAAAAAGCAUUCAGCUGUUACCAAUACCCAUCUUGCUACUCUCGAGUGCAUUCACCGCCCUUAAUUUACUUAUCCGAGCUCACGACCCGCGGUGUCCCUCACUAUGGUCCCCCGUAUUCAGGUCCCUGUUCGGGCGCCACCCGUGACGGAGCCCGCCGUCACUUGUCGAACAGUACCUGAAUGGGAGAGUGAGGAUGAAGAAAAAUAAAGACAAAGAGAUAGAGUCAGGAGGGCUCCCAGAGACCGAGUGCCCAAGUUUUUCUCCUCUCUUUUCUACAACAGGUGAGUUUGCUUGUUAAUCAUGACCCUCAUCCAGAGACACCUGCUUCCUUGUUUUCUAGUUCUUUGGAAAUUCCCCGCCCUCAUGGGCUUCCUUGUUUCUCGGGGUUACAGAACAUUCAUCACGUUCCAGGGCAAUCUAAUUCGGCAAGGAUGCGGUUCCUCAUAACAUAGUCUCCUUGCUCUAUACAAUGGAGGGUAAGAUUCAAAAUGGAGCCUCUUUGUCUAACACCGCUCUCCACAAUUAAGAUGAAAAAAUACUGCCAAUCUGCACAUAUGAUGCUUUCUUCUUACAUGAACUAAACUCCUUGAAGUUUCUGAAUCCACCAUCAACAUUCUUUUAAGAAUCAACUUUUUUGAAGUUGAACCCAACCAAAAUAGCAUAUACUCAAAUAUAUGUUUUUGAUGAGUUUUGACAAAAGCACACACCCAUUUGACCUCCACCAUGAUCAAGAUUCAAGAUACUUUCUUCACCUCUCAUGCUAAUAUCAGUCAGUUCUUCCCAGCCCUGGCAUCAGCAAGUACUGAUCUGCUGUCACUAAGGUUAGAUUUGUCUUUCUAGAGCCUUUUGUAAAUGGGAUCAAGCAGUAUUUACUCUCUUUUGUGUCUGGUUUCUUUCAUUCAGCAC